This 468-nucleotide ribosomal RNA is filed under the name uncultured bacterium. Its description in RNAcentral is "partial 16S ribosomal RNA". It matches the Rfam family "Bacterial small subunit ribosomal RNA", at positions 28 to 507 of the family's 1533-position model. The record is from RNAcentral.
GACGAACGCUGGCGGCGUGCUUAACACAUGCAAGUCGAACGGAAAGGCCCUGCUUUUGUGUGGUGCUCGAGUGGCGAACGGGUGAGUAACACGUGAGUAACCUGCCCUUGACUUUGGGAUAACUUCAGGAAACUGGGGCUAAUACCGGAUAGGAGCUCCUGCUGCUUGGUGGGGGUUGGAAAGUUUCGGCGGUUGGGGAUGGACUCGCGGCUUAUCAGCUUGUUGGUGGGGUAGUGGCUUACCAAGGCUUUGACGGGUAGCCAGCCUGAGAGGGUGACCGGCCACAUUGGGACUGAGAUACGGCCCAGACUCCUACGGGAGGCAGCAGUGGGGAAUAUUGCACAAUGGGCGGAAGCCUGAUGCAGCAACGCCGCGUGCGGGAUGACGGCCUUCGGGUUGUAAACCGCUUUCGCCUGUGACGAAGCGUGAGUGACGGUAAUGGGUAAAGAAGCACCGGCUAACUACGUG